UCCAACCUGAGCAAUUCUAUGAUCCUAUGAUUCUGUGUCAGAAAAUGAAGCUGUAUGAAGAACAUGUUCUUCACUAAAUCCUAAAGAACACAGUGUGCAAAAUGGGAAAGGAUCUUGACAGAAUUUGUAGUUUUGUAAGUGUAUUGUUGUGCUGGGCAGGCUGAUCAUAAAUGAGCAGAAGGAGAUUCUCAAAGCUUAUGACAAAUGAAUCUACCAAACAAGCCCAGCUCCCUCAGCCUGUCUUCAUAGCAGAGAUGCUCUAGCCCACCGAGCAUCCUCAUGGCACUCCUCUGGACCCUCCCCAAAAGCUCCACAUCUAUCCUCAGCGGGGGGCCCCAGACCUGGAUGCAGAACUCCAGAUGGGGCCUGAAGAGGACAGAGUAGUGAGGGACAAACCCCGCCCUCUCCCUGCUGUCCUCUUGCCUCUCAUCACCACAUGUUUAGCCUAACGUGGACAUCUAAGAAAGCAGAGAGGUUGAGAAGUUCAAGAUGAGAUGGCCUAACUGCCAUAAGACAAAAUAGGUAAAGAACUGAUUUCACUGUUUUUUCACUAGUCAGUUGUUCUCACUUCGAUGGUGAAAGGCAGUAACCCUAUACAAGGCAGUCAAGAGAUUUAGGAACCAUGCAGGAGAUGGCAGAAGGGAAAGAACAUGCAUAGUGGCCACAUAACAAGAGUAAGCAGUUACACGGCAACGCGGAAUGUUUAAGGGAAGGGCAGUAACGCCCAGAGAUGGCUGGUUGAAGAGCAGCCAGUAAGCAAGCACAGGUUGGGGAAGGCAGGGGAAAGCAGCAGGGAAUGAAGCUGCUUCGCUGUUCCUUUUCCUCUACCUUGCAGGUGGCCAUUCAGACACAGACAAAAGCAGAUAAGGAAAGAUGACAGUUCUCAACACUGAAAAGUGCUGACCACACUCUGAAAGACAGCAGGAGCUGGUACAAGACCUAACAACUACAACAGCCAUGUCAGCUGGGGACAGUGAGACAAGCAGCCUCAGACAGCGACAAAACUGGCUGGCUGAUGAGCAACCCAGUGAGCAGGGUCAUACUGGGGGUACACAAGAGGGUAACAGGCUGUGUGGCUGCUUCUUUGUUCCUUCCCCUCUGCCUUGCAGAUGGGAACAUAGAAACAGGCCGAAGCAGAGCAGGGAAGACGACUCUUCUCAGCCCUGCAAAAAUGGAGCCCACACUCUUCAAAAAAGAUAAGUCAGCACUAUACGACGUCUCAUCUGGGUCCUACACGACUCUGGAAUCUUCCCGUCUUGCCCCUGCCCAUACCCAACACUGAUGCCAGGUUUAAUGAAUCUUGGAUCCACAGCAGGCGCUGGCAGCAGUCCACCCAACUACAGUGGCCACGUCAGCUGGGGAUGGUGACACGGGCAGCCCCAGAUAGCGACAAAACUGGCUGGCUGACGAGCAACCCAGUGAGCAGUGCCGUGCUGGGGGGACACGGGAGGGCAACAGGCCAUGCGGCUGCUUCUUUGUUCCUUCCCCUCUGCCUUGCAGGUGGGCACGCAGACACAGGCCGAAGCAGAGCAGGGAAGACGACUCUUCUCAGCCCUGCAAAAUGGAGCCCACACUCUUCAAAAAAGAUGAGUCAGCCCCAAAUUACAUAUCAUCCAAGUCCUACAGGACUCAGGAAUCUUCCCACCUUGCCCCUGCUUGUACCCAACAUCUAUGGUUGCUUUAAUGUGUGCAGGACCCACAGCAGGUGCUGGUACAAGACCUGACAACUGCAGCAGCCACGUCAGCAGGGGACAGUGAGACGCGCCGUCCCAGACGACGACAAAACUGGCUGGCUGAAGAGCAACCCAGUGAGUAGGCCCAUGCUGGGGAGGACAGGGGAGGGUAACAGGGCAUGCAGCUGUUUCACUCUUGCUUCCCGUCUGCCUUGCAGGUGGGCAUUCAGGCACAGACGGAACCAGAGAAGGAAAGAUGACCGUUCUCAGAACUGGAAAAUGGUGACCAUACUCUCAAAGAAAGAAACCUGGAGCAACAGCAGGUGCUGGCAGCAGUCCACCAACUGCAGUGGCCACGUCAGCAGGGGACGGUGAGACGGGCAGCCCCAGACAGCGACAAAACUGGCUGGCAGAAGAGCAACCCAGUGAGCAGAGCCAUGCUGGGGAGGGCAGGGGAAAGCAGCAAGGCCAGCGGCUGCUCCUUUCUUGCUUCCCCUCUGCCUUGCAGGUGAACCUGUAGAUAAAGACGGAAGCAGAGCACGAAAGACUACUCUUCUCAGCCCUGCGCAAAGGAGGACCACACUCUUCAAAAAAGAUAAGUCAGCCCUAUACGACUUCUCAUCUGGGUCCUACAGGACUCAGGAAACUUCCCGCCUUCCCCCGGCCCAUACCCAACAUUGAUGCCAGUUUUAUUGCAUCCUGGAUCCACAGCAAGCGCUGACAGCAGUCCACCAACUGCAGUGGUCAAGUCAGCUGGGGAUGGUGACACGGGCAGCCCCCGACAGCGACAAAACUGGCUGGCUGACGAGCAAUCCAGUGAGCAGUGCUAUGUUUGAGGAACAUGGGAGGGCAACAGGCCAUGCGGCUGCUUCUUCGUUCCUUCCCCUCUGCCUUGCAGGUGGGCACGUAGACACAGGCGGAAGCAGAGCAGGGAAGACGACUCUUCUCAGCCCUGCAAAAUGAGGCCCACACUCUUCAAAAAAGAUAAGUCAGCCCUAUAGGACUUCUCAUCUGGGUCCUACAGGACUCUGGAAUCUUCCCGCUAACCCCUGCCCAUACCCAACACUAAUGCCAGGUUUAAUGAAUCCUGGAUCCACAGCAGGUGCUGGUAGAAGACCAAACAACUACAGCAGCCACGUCAGCAGGGGACAGUGAGACGGGCAGCCCCAGACAGCGACAAAACUGGCUGGCUGACGAGCAACCCAGUGAGCAGGGCCAUGCUGGGGAGGGCAGGGGAAAGCAGCAAGGCCAGCGGCUGCUCCUUUCUUGCUUCCCCUCUGCCUUGCAGGAGAACGCGUACAUAAAGACGGAAGCAGAGCACGAAAG
Long non-coding RNA from Numida meleagris (helmeted guineafowl), 2999 nucleotides. RefSeq lists it as uncharacterized. The transcript is spliced from 4 exons. Lineage: Eukaryota; Metazoa; Chordata; Aves; Galliformes; Numididae. The record is from RefSeq and is a predicted model, not a curated record.